GAGGAUGAAAGUGGGGGACCGCAAGGCCUCACGCGUUUGGAGCGGCCGAUGGCAGAUUAGGUAGUUGGUGGGGUAAAGGCUUACCAAGCCUGCGAUCUGUAGCUGGUCUGAGAGGAUGAUCAGCCACACUGGGACUGAGACACGGCCCAGACUCCUACGGGAGGCAGCAGUGGGGAAUUUUGGACAAUGGGCGCAAGCCUGAUCCAGCCAUUCCGCGUGCAGGACGAAGGCCUUCGGGUUGUAAACUGCUUUUGUACGGAACGAAAGGGCUCUCUCUAAUACAGGGGGCAUAUGACGGUACCGUAAGAAUAAGCACCGGCUAACUACGUGCCAGCAGCCGCGGUAAUACGUAGGGUGCAAGCGUUAAUCGGAAUUACUGGGCGUAAAGCGUGCGCAGGCGGUUUUGUAAGACAGAGGUGAAAUCCCCGGGCUCAACCUGGGAACUGCCUUUGUGACUGCAAGGCUGGAGUGCGGCAAAAGGGGAUGGAAUUCCGCGUGU
RNAcentral lists this ribosomal RNA (499 nucleotides) under Comamonadaceae bacterium RB1-10B. RNAcentral describes it as "bacterial SSU rRNA". It matches the Rfam family "Bacterial small subunit ribosomal RNA", at positions 196 to 676 of the family's 1533-position model. Lineage: Bacteria; Pseudomonadati; Pseudomonadota; Betaproteobacteria; Burkholderiales; Comamonadaceae. The record is from RNAcentral.